GUGGCUCUGAUUGCUUAUUGCACCACAUGUGUUUUUCUUUGAAACAAACUUGCUUUGGCGGUGGGCCCAGCCUGCCGCCAGAGGUCUAAACUUACAACCAAUUUUUUAUCAACUUGUCACACCAGAUUAUUACUAAUAGUCAAAACUUUCAACAACGGAUCUCUUGGUUCUCGCAUCGAUGAAGAACGCAGCGAAAUGCGAUACGUAAUAUGAAUUGCAGAUAUUCGUGAAUCAUCGAAUCUUUGAACGCACAUUGCGCCCUCUGGUAUUCCGGAGGGCAUGCCUGUUUGAGCGUCGUUUCUCCCUCAAACCGCUGGGUUUGGUGUUGAGCAAUACGACUUGGGUUUGCUUGAAAGACGGUAGUGGUAAGGCGGGAUCGCUUUGACAAUGGCUUAGGUCUAACCAAAAACAUUGCUUGCGGCGGUAACGUCUACCACGUAUAUCUUCAAACUUUGACCUCAAAUCAGGUAGGACUACCCGCUGAACUUAAGCAUAUCAAAAGCCGGAGGAA
RNAcentral lists this ribosomal RNA (511 nucleotides) under Candida albicans. RNAcentral's name for it is "eukaryotic LSU rRNA". The stretch from base 144 to 297 matches the Rfam family "5.8S ribosomal RNA". Lineage: Eukaryota; Fungi; Ascomycota; Pichiomycetes; Serinales; Debaryomycetaceae. The record is from RNAcentral.